RNAcentral lists this ribosomal RNA (253 nucleotides) under uncultured bacterium. RNAcentral describes it as "partial 16S ribosomal RNA". It matches the Rfam family "Bacterial small subunit ribosomal RNA", at positions 524 to 776 of the family's 1533-position model. The record is from RNAcentral.
UACGAAGGGGGCUAGCGUUGUUCGGAAUCACUGGGCGUAAAGGGCGCGUAGGCGGCUUUGUAAGUCGGGGGUGAAAGCCUGUGGCUCAACCACAGAAUUGCCUUCGAUACUGCAUGGCUUGAGACCGGAAGAGGUAAGUGGAACUGCGAGUGUAGAGGUGAAAUUCGUAGAUAUUCGCAAGAACACCAGUGGCGAAGGCGGCUUACUGGUCCGGUUCUGACGCUGAGGCGCGAAAGCGUGGGUAGCAAACAGG